This 744-nucleotide long non-coding RNA is filed under the name Malus domestica (apple). RNAcentral's name for it is "long non-coding RNA (MDOM_LNC012200)". Lineage: Eukaryota; Viridiplantae; Streptophyta; Magnoliopsida; Rosales; Rosaceae. The record is from RNAcentral.
UGGAUGUUUACCACAUGUCACACGUUAGAAAGCUUCUAGUUGUAGAUAUCUUAUGCUUAACUUUGAUUUCACCUCAAAGCCCUCACUACUUCCCAUACCCGAUAAUCUGAUACUCGGGUUCAUAUGUAUGAGUAUGGAGAUACAUGAACGCCAAUAAGGAUCUGGCACCUUCUAGUAAUUUUUCAAUAGAAACAGGGAUCCCUUGAAGCCACUUAGAGGUCAAUCUCAUAAAUCUCUAGCUAGAGUAACUAUUUAUCAAGCUAUCUUUGUAAGAACUGCUUGAACAUAUAUAUCAUGGUGAUCAUGGAUAUCUAUAUGUGAUUUAACAUAAUUUCAUAUCACAUAAAUUUUGAUUGGGAUAUGGAUAAUUGAAAAACUAAAUAGCAUUGUAACUUGAAUCAAGGUUAGAAAAAGUAUCAUGAUUAUUUCACGUAUACUUCUACUAAUCCAAAAAGCCAUAAAAUGUUGCUAAGUGACACUCAUGGUUCGUGGAAUUAAAUUAAUUCAUUAUCUGAUUUCAUUGCCCUGCUAAGUCACACCUAUGGUAAUUCUAGCAAUGUCAACCUAGAUGAUUAGAUAUAAUUAAUUGUUAAUUAUAUUGAAUUAAUUAUUUAGGACUAUUGAUAGUGUUCUAAAAAUAGAUCUAGGCGCUGGAUGGAGACUGACUGCCGUGAUUAACUUGUAAUUGGUCACAAAAUCGGAAAAUGUAUUAGGCGGACGCUAGGCGAGUUUAGGCGGGUCUAG